RNAcentral lists this ribosomal RNA (1318 nucleotides) under Bacillus licheniformis. Its description in RNAcentral is "bacterial SSU rRNA". It matches the Rfam family "Bacterial small subunit ribosomal RNA", at positions 54 to 1353 of the family's 1533-position model. Lineage: Bacteria; Bacillati; Bacillota; Bacilli; Caryophanales; Bacillaceae. The record is from RNAcentral.
CAUGCAGUCGAGCGGACAGAUGGGAGCUUGCUCCCUGAUGUNAGCGGCGGACGGGUGAGUAACACGUGGGUAACCUGCCUGUAAGACUGGGAUAACUCCGGGAAACCGGGGCUAAUACCGGAUGCUUGAUUGAACCGCAUGGUUCAAUUAUAAAAGGUGGCUUUUAGCUACCACUUACAGAUGGACCCGCGGCGCAUUAGCUAGUUGGUGAGGUAACGGCUCACCAAGGCNACGAUGCGUAGCCGACCUGAGAGGGUGAUCGGCCACACUGGGACUGAGACACGGCCCAGACUCCUACGGGAGGCAGCAGUAGGKAAUCUUCCGCAAUGGACGAAAGUCUGACGGAGCAACGCCGCGUGAGUGAUGAAGGUUUUCGGAUCGUAAAACUCUGUUGUUUAGGGAAGAACAAGUACCGUUCGAAUAGGGCGGUACCUUGACGGUACCUAACCAGAAAGCCACGGCUAACUACGUGCCAGCAGCCGCGGUAAUACGUAGGUGGCAAGCGUUGUCCGGAAUUAUUGGGCGUAAAGCGCGCGCAGGCGGUUUCUUAAGUCUGAUGUGAAAGCCCCCGGCUCAACCGGGGAGGGUCAUUGGAAACUGGGGAACUUGAGUGCAGAAGAGGAGAGUGGAAUUCCACGUGUAGCGGUGAAAUGCGUAGAGAUGUGGAGGAACACCAGUGGCGAAGGCGACUCUCUGGUCUGUAACUGACGCUGAGGCGCGAAAGCGUGGGGAGCGAACAGGAUUAGAUACCCUGGUAGUCCACGCCGUAAACGAUGAGUGCUAAGUGUUAGAGGGUUUCCGCCCUUUAGUGCUGCAGCAAACGCAUUAAGCACUCCGCCUGGGGAAGUACGGUCGCAAGACUGAAACUCAAAGGAAUUGACGGGGGCCCGCACAAGCGGUGGAGCAUGUGGUUUAAUUCGAAGCAACGCGAAGAACCUUACCAGGUCUUGACAUCCUCUGACAACCCUAGAGAUAGGGCUUCCCCUUCGGGGGCAGAGUGACAGGUGGUGCAUGGUUGUCGUCAGCUCGUGUCGUGAGAUGUUGGGUUAAGUCCCGCAACGAGCGCAACCCUUGAUCUUAGUUGCCAGCAUUCAGUUGGGCACUCUAAGGUGACUGCCGGUGACAAACCGGAGGAAGGUGGGGAUGACGUCAAAUCAUCAUGCCCCUUAUGACCUGGGCUACACACGUGCUACAAUGGGCAGAACAAAGGGCAGCGAAGCCGCGAGGCUAAGCCAAUCCCACAAAUCUGUUCUCAGUUCGGAUCGCAGUCUGCAACUCGACUGCGUGAAGCUGGAAUCGCUAGUAAUCGCGGAUCAGC